RNAcentral lists this ribosomal RNA (279 nucleotides) under uncultured bacterium. RNAcentral's name for it is "partial 16S ribosomal RNA". It matches the Rfam family "Bacterial small subunit ribosomal RNA", at positions 506 to 784 of the family's 1533-position model. The record is from RNAcentral.
UGCCAGCAGCCGCGGUAAUACGGAGGGUCCAAGCGUUAUCCGGAUUCAUUGGGUUUAAAGGGUCCGCAGGCGGAAAGAUAAGUCAGUGGUGAAAGCCUACAGCUCAACUGUAGAACUGCCAUUGAUACUGUUUUUCUUGAAUAUAGAUGAAGUGGGCGGAAUGUGUCAUGUAGCGGUGAAAUGCAUAGAUAUGACACAGAACACCGAUUGCGAAGGCAGCUCACUAAACUAUUAUUGACGCUCAUGGACGAAAGCGUGGGGAGCGAACAGGAUUAGAUA